Molecule: long non-coding RNA, 207 nt
Filed under: Phoenix dactylifera (date palm)
Lineage: Eukaryota; Viridiplantae; Streptophyta; Magnoliopsida; Arecales; Arecaceae
Description: long non-coding RNA (PDAC_LNC003222)
Source: RNAcentral
UUAUAUUAUUUGAUGGUCGUCCAUCUUCUGAUAGUAGGUAUCUCUAUGGUGCUGCCCAUGCAUUACAGAGGCUCCUCAUGCCAGCAAACUAUUCUAUUCAAUCCCGGAAUGGUUUAAAACGCAAAGUGGAGUAGGAAUAUUCUCACAUUUUUUAUUUUGGAAGUUAACCCAUCCUGAAGCUAAGCAGAAGAGUAAGAUGAGCCGUCA